AGCAAGACCGUGAGGUGGAGGCAAAACUCAAAAACUUAGUCUCAGUUCGGAUUGUAGGCUGAAACUCGCCUACAUGAAGCUGGAGUUGCUAGUAAUCGCGAAUCAGCAUGUCGCGGUGAAUACGUUCCCGGGCCUUGUACACACCGCCCGUCACACCAUGAGAGUUGGCAAUACCCAACGUACGUGAUCUAACCCGCAAGGGAGGAAGCGUCCUAAGGUAGGGUCAGCGAUUGGGGUGAAGUCGUAACAAGGUACC
This 256-nucleotide ribosomal RNA is filed under the name uncultured bacterium. RNAcentral describes it as "partial 16S ribosomal RNA". It matches the Rfam family "Bacterial small subunit ribosomal RNA", at positions 1248 to 1500 of the family's 1533-position model. The record is from RNAcentral.